RNAcentral lists this ribosomal RNA (253 nucleotides) under uncultured bacterium. RNAcentral describes it as "partial 16S ribosomal RNA". It matches the Rfam family "Bacterial small subunit ribosomal RNA", at positions 524 to 776 of the family's 1533-position model. The record is from RNAcentral.
UACGUAGGGGGCUAGCGUUGUCCGGAAUCAUUGGGCGUAAAGCGCGCGUAGGCGGCCAGAUAAGUCCGGUGUGAAAGUCACAGGCUCAACCUGUGAAUGCCGCUGGAAACUGUCUGGCUUGAGUCCGGAAGGGGCGAGUGGAAUUCCACGUGUAGCGGUGAAAUGCGUAGAGAUGUGGAGGAACACCAGUGGCGAAGGCGACUCUUUGGCCUGUAACUGACGCUGAGGCGCGAAAGCGUGGGGAGCAAACAGG